Molecule: ribosomal RNA, 255 nt
Filed under: uncultured bacterium
Lineage: Bacteria
Description: partial 16S ribosomal RNA
Rfam family: Bacterial small subunit ribosomal RNA
Source: RNAcentral
UACGGAGGGAGCUAGCGUUGUUCGGAAUUACUGGGCGUAAAGCGCACGUAGGCGGCUUUGUAAGUUAGAGGUGAAAGCCCGGGGCUCAACCCCGGAAUUGCCUUUAAGACUGCAUCGCUUGAAUCCAGGAGAGGUGAGUGGAAUUCCGAGUGUAGAGGUGAAAUUCGUAGAUAUUCGGAAGAACACCAGUGGCGAAGGCGGCUCACUGGAUGCUGGUAUUGACGCUGAGGUGCGAAAGCGUGGGGAGCAAACAGG